This is a long non-coding RNA of Mizuhopecten yessoensis (Yesso scallop), 406 nucleotides long. RefSeq lists it as uncharacterized. NCBI's taxonomy places the organism in Eukaryota, Metazoa, Mollusca, Bivalvia, Pectinida, Pectinidae. The record is from RefSeq and is a predicted model, not a curated record. The transcript is spliced from 2 exons.
CUUUGAGAAAAUGCUAGAAAAAAAAGGACUGGAUGGUUGGAUCAAAGAUGACGAUUGCUGAUCUUGCAGUGUAUAACACAUUUGAUUUUAUAGCCGAAAUUGCUAUGAAAAACACCGGGACAGAUAUCUUUGAUAAAAAAAAACCACACUGAAAGAGCACUCAAAUCGAGUGGGGUCCAUCCCGAAAAUCAAAGCAUGGGUGCAGAAUCGUCCUAAAACUAAUUUGUGAGCGUGUUUAUGGCAUGGAAUUGAACUUUUGAUAUUCAAAGACUGCAAUUAAAUUGAAUCUCAUUAAUUGUAUUAAAAAAUAGUUUUAAUCUCGGUCUAUGUUCGUAUGUUAUUGUAUGCUACUGAAUAUUGAUGGCAUGCUGACAUUGUAUAAAUACUGAAUAUACAAACUUGGAAA